GGGGCUGACUGGCUUUGACAGCGGGCAGAAGCGGUGUGUAAGCAUGCAGAGCUUUGUUGUCCCGGCUCUAUAAUCUCAGGCAUCAAAAAUUUAAUUGGCGAAAACAACUACGCUCUCGCUGCUUAAUCGAAGCACAGUAGAUUAGGUUUAUUCCGCCACAAGGUGACGGAACGAGACAUCAUCCGGAAGCUGUUGUCCCGAAGCGUUCCGACCCGAUGGUGCAAGAAAAUCGGGAAUAGCCCAAGUGUUGCCUCGGCGCUUAGGCGAAGUUCAAGAGGCUAAGGUUGCGGUUGGCAGCUUCGCGCUUGCCGCCUCCCUACAAUAACGGCGAAGAUAAGCAUGUAGAAAGCACAUUGAUUCCUCGUUUGGACGAGGGUUCGAUUCCCUCCAGCUCCACAA
This 399-nucleotide transfer-messenger RNA is filed under the name Barnesiellaceae. RNAcentral's name for it is "Barnesiella_A excrementipullorum Standard tmRNA". It matches the Rfam family "transfer-messenger RNA". From Rfam's summary of the family: Bacterial tmRNA, also known as 10Sa RNA or SsrA, is named for its dual tRNA and mRNA-like properties. Its role is to liberate the mRNA from a stalled ribosome. Lineage: Bacteria; Pseudomonadati; Bacteroidota; Bacteroidia; Bacteroidales. The record is from RNAcentral. RNAcentral also lists the same sequence under 1 other name.